RNAcentral lists this long non-coding RNA (308 nucleotides) under Bos mutus (wild yak). RNAcentral's name for it is "lncRNA (ENSBMUG00000014322.1)". The record is from RNAcentral. Lineage: Eukaryota; Metazoa; Chordata; Mammalia; Artiodactyla; Bovidae.
UUACUAGAGAAUUGGAAGAGGCUCAAGUCAGCAUCCUGCACAUGGUUAUCAAACCAUUGUGAAGUCUUAGCUGAACUGUGGAGAAUAUCUUUGAAAAGUGUUUUAGAGAGUCUACCAGAUUUGCCAUGUGAGUGCCUGUGCAGCAGAAGAGUGGGUCUUCUCAGUGGUUAAGGUAACAAAGUGAUUAAGUGUCUACUUAGCUGCUGAUCUCCAAUUCAUCAUUAACUUGAAUUUAAGAAUUACUUUGUAAAAUUCUGCUUCAUUAAAAAAAAAAUAAACUCACUUAAGAAUAGUUAUUGUAAAUAGCA